RNAcentral lists this ribosomal RNA (253 nucleotides) under uncultured bacterium. Its description in RNAcentral is "partial 16S ribosomal RNA". It matches the Rfam family "Bacterial small subunit ribosomal RNA", at positions 524 to 776 of the family's 1533-position model. RNAcentral also lists the same sequence under 1 other name. The record is from RNAcentral.
UACAGAGGUGGCUAGCGUUGUUCGGAAUUACUGGGCGUAAAGGGAGCGCAGGCGGCUAAACAAGUCUGGAGUGCAAGCCCGGGGCUCAACCCCGGAAUUGCUUUGGAUACUGUUUGGCUUGAGUACGUCAGAGGUGAGCGGAAUUCCAGGUGUAGCGGUGAAAUGCGUAGAUAUCUGGAGGAACAUCCGUGGCGAAAGCGGCUCACUGGGACGACACUGACGCUGAGGCUCGAAAGCGUGGGGAGCGAACGGG